CGAAGAUGGGCACCUGAUCUAGCCAUGCCGCGUGAGUGAUGAAGGCCCUAGGGUCGUAAAGCUCUUUCGCCAGGGAUGAUAAUGACAGUACCUGGUAAAGAAACCCCGGCUAACUCCGUGCCAGCAGCCGCGGUAAUACGGAGGGGGUUAGCGUUGUUCGGAAUUACUGGGCGUAAAGCGCGCGUAGGCGGAUCAGAAAGUUGGGGGUGAAAUCCCGGGGCUCAACCCCGGAACUGCCUCCAAAACUCCUGGUCUUGAGUUCGAGAGAGGUGAGUGGAAUUCCGAGUGUAGAGGUGAAAUUCGUAGAUAUUCGGAGGAACACCAGUGGCGAAGGCGGCUCACUGGCUCGAUACUGACGCUGAGGUGCGAAAGUGUGGGGAGCAAACAGGAUUAGAUACCCCGGUAGUCAA
RNAcentral lists this ribosomal RNA (410 nucleotides) under Antarctobacter albus. Its description in RNAcentral is "bacterial SSU rRNA". It matches the Rfam family "Bacterial small subunit ribosomal RNA", at positions 366 to 797 of the family's 1533-position model. Lineage: Bacteria; Pseudomonadati; Pseudomonadota; Alphaproteobacteria; Rhodobacterales; Roseobacteraceae. The record is from RNAcentral.